CUCGCCCGGAGCCCUGGUGCAUGGGGGCUUCCAGCGACAGGAGCCGGACCCGGGAGGUCCUCGGGAGCCCCAGGAACCAAGGGAGACAGCCGAGUCUAGGUCCUGCUUUGUGUGUGGAUGGGAGGUCUGAACUGGCUGCUUCUGGGGAGCUGGCUUGCAGGAGGCUGAGUGGGAGAGGUGGAGUUCAUAUUCAAUGAUGAUCUGUGAUUCUUAAAGGUCCUUUCUCUGAAAAGGUGAACACUAUAAACAGACUUCUCUAAUCACAUACUGGAAUACUGAAGGAGAUGAUAUUGCUAUUUAUUCCCAUUUUGAAGAGAAAAUCAAAACUCACUGAUACAAUCUAUUAAAGAUAUUCCCCAUAAUGAAUGGAGAUGAGAGAAAAACACCAGUUUUUUAAUUCUCUGUCCAACCUUCUCUUCUACUGACACUUUGCAACAAAAAUCUGCUGUCAGACACUGCCUUUCUUUUUUUUCUCUGGCCAGGAACCAGUUAAUCAAAUUACCAUCUGAAGUUAGACAGUGACUAAGUAGCUGUUGUUAACAUGUUCUGUGGCUGCAGGCAUCAAAUGUAAAGGAAACAUUUUCCAGGACACAGGGAGGCCAGAUGGGAGAGGGAAAAGGCUUCUCCUAGCAACUAACAGAUUUUGUCCGGAGGUUAUUUACUGAGUUUCUCACCCAUGGGCCUGGAUGUGCUGAGCUGUAGGGAAGAAAGAAACGCCUUUUCAAUAGAAAAGCCUUCCUACUGUGGAGCAUAUUGUCUUGAAAAGCCUGAAUCCUAUCUUGAAAGGAAAGAAAAUGGAGGAUUAUACUACCAGCUUCUUUGAAAUAUUUUUAAGCAAAUGGAUCUAGAAGAGGUUUCUAACUUGGGAUCCUGUUUUUAAAAUCUUUGCAUAGUUACAUUUUAAUAUAAUUAGUUUUUUUGGAAUCCUAUGUGUGUGUGUGUAUAUAUAUAUAUUUGCAUUUAAAACUGUUAUUCUGAAAAGAAGUCAAUAGAAUGAACCAAAUUGUCAAAGGGGUCCCUAGCAUUUGAAAGGUUAAUAACCCCUGGGAAAGGCAAUUAAGGACUUGGUGGAAAGGCUUAAAGUAUGGCCCAGCAAUGAUAUGUAUGCUUAUUGCCUGAGUGCCAGCCUAGAUAAAUUUAGAAAGGUCCAUUGCUAAAUUAGCCAUAAGGUUAUGAAAAGAUAAGAGAAGCUAUCUUUCUCAGAUCCUUUGCAGUGGAUGAAAAUAGGGAGAAAGGCAGGAAUGGACAGGUUGUCCACAGUGUGGAACACUACUUACAAUAUCAGUAUUUUAGAUCAUUGGUCUUUUAAGUCUUUAAAAAAAAAAAAAAACCCAAAACUUUGUUACAAGUAAUAGCUUAUAAUAAAAGGAGAUGAGAGCAAGGUGGUAGGGGAGGAUUUAGACAAUGUAAAAACAAAAGAAAUCAAUAAUAUCUAUUAUUUAUAUUUAUUAUUGGCUGAGAAGCUUAGUCUGCCCUGAGGGUCUUCUAUAAAUAGUCAAGCAGUUCAGAAUUUAGGGAUUUUAGAGUACACAAAGUUCCCAAAGGAUUUGACCUUUCAUCUUAGCAAAGUGCCUGGGAUUUACAUACUCUAUAUAACAUUAUAUUCUUAAUUAUGUUGAUUAAAAACAAAAACAAAAAAACCCACAAAGCUACACAAAGUUAAAAAAAAAAGUUUUCUACCAAUGCAGACAAGAUUAGAAGGGAAGCAGAAAACUGGGAACAAUUUUUUACAUCUAAGGGUUCUGAAAAAGGCCUCAUUUCUAAAAUAUAUAGAGAAUUGACUCAAAAUUAUAAGAAUACAAGUCAUUCUCCGAUUGAUAAAUCAUCAAAGGAUAUGAACAGAUAAUUUUUAGAUGAAGAAAUUAAUACCAUUUCUAGUCAUAGGAAAAAAUGCUCUAAAUCACUAUUGAUCAGAGAAAUGCAAAUUAAGACAACUUUGAAGUACCACUACAUACCUCUCAGAUUGGCUAAGAGGACAGCAAAGAAUAAUAAUAAAUGUUGGAGGAGAUAUGGGAAAACUGAAACACCAAUACAUUGUGAACUUAUCCAACCAUUCUGGAGAGCAAUUUGGAACUCUGCCCAAAGGGCUAUCAAAUUGUGCAUAUCCUUUGAUACAGCAGUGUUUCUACUGGGUCUGAAUCUCAAAGAGAUCAUAAAAAAGGGAAAAGGACCCACAUGUUCAAAAAUGUUUGUAGCAGCCCUUUUUGUAAUGGCAAGGAACUGGAAACUUGGUGGAGACUCAUCAGUUGGAUAAUGGCUGAAUAAGUUAUGGUAUAUGAAUGUGAUAGAAUAUUAUUGUUCUAUAAGAAAUGACCAGAGGAUGAUUUCAGAGAGGCCUGGAGAGACUUACAUGAACUGAUGCUAAGUGAAGUGAGUAGAACCCAGGGAAUUUUGUACAAGUAACAAGAUUAUAUGAUGAUCAAUUCUGAUGGAAGUGGCUCUUUUCAACAAUGAGGUGAUUAAGACUAAUUCCAAUAGAUUUGUGAUGAAGAGAGACAUCUGCAUCCAGAGAGAGGACUCUGGGGACUGAAUGUGAAUCACAACAUAGGAUUUUCACAUAUUUUUGUUGUUGCUUGCUUACUUUUUAUUUUAUUUCUCAUUUUUUCCCCUUUUUGAUCUGAUUUUUCUUGUGCAGCAUGAUAGAUGUGGAAAUAUAUAUAUAGAAGAAUUACACAUGUUUAACUGUAUUAGAUUGCUUGCUGCCUAAGAGAGAGGGUUGGGGGAAGGGAGGGAGAAAAAAUUUGGAACACAAGGUUUUGCAAGGAUGUUGAAAACUAUUUUUGUAUGUGUUUUGAAAAUAAAAAAAUAAAAAAUAUUUUUAAGGAAAUAGAAUUGUGCCUGGAUUAACUUCACUUCCAAACCUAUUCCACAUAUAAAGCACAAGCUGCAUAAGAAUCUCCCAGGUUUUUAUCUUCUGAGCUCAGCUGUGAGGCUCUCUGCCUAGUCCUUCCAUUGUGCCUCCUCACCAAUUAGAGGCAGCCAACACAGCCAAUAUGUUGAACAAUAUGCUAAGCCCCAUGAAGGAAAGGAGAACAAAGGAGGAGAGGGUUAUGUGGAAAAUGUAAGCAGUACAGAAGAGUACCCAGAACUUAGUAGAGAGGAAAGUUUCUGUAUACUGGAGGGAAAGGGGUCUGGAAAUCUAGUAGGGCCUAGUCCUUUCUUUUGGAAUUGGUUAUGGGCUAACCUCCCACAAUCAGAGUUACGCUGGUAAAUGCUUAAUGACGUCAGUUCUCAGAAAAAGAAAAUUAAAACAAAAUAAGUAAAAAAAAAAAAAAAAA
Long non-coding RNA from Antechinus flavipes (yellow-footed antechinus), 3278 nucleotides. RefSeq lists it as uncharacterized. The transcript has 3 exons. The record is from RefSeq and is a predicted model, not a curated record. Lineage: Eukaryota; Metazoa; Chordata; Mammalia; Dasyuromorphia; Dasyuridae.